UUAAAAGCGAAGCUCCUGUUCCUUAACCAAAGGGUGAGGGAACAAGGUGAUUGAAAUUGCUGAAUUUGUAAUUAACAUCUGUGUGAUUAGGGCUCCCCACAACACUCUAGUUCUAUCUAAU
This 121-nucleotide small nucleolar RNA is filed under the name Sorex araneus (European shrew). Its description in RNAcentral is "U8 small nucleolar RNA (ENSSARG00000019530.1)". The record is from RNAcentral. Lineage: Eukaryota; Metazoa; Chordata; Mammalia; Eulipotyphla; Soricidae.